GAAAAGCAGCAUCAUUGAAGGUGAAAAUCCUGUAGAUGAUAUGGACUACCAGUGCAUUUGUGAUGCGAUUUCUAAGAGUCGAGUUGUUUGGGAAUGCAGCUCAAAGUGGGUGGUAAAUUCCAUCUAAGGCUAAAUAUAAGUGAGAGACCGAUAGCAUACAAGUACCGUGAGGGAAAGAUGAAAAGAACUUUGAAAAUAGAGUUAACAGUACGUGAAAUUGCUGAAAGGGAAACGUUUGAAGUUAGUUUUGUAUUCGUUGGAUCAGCUUCGCAAGGAGUGUAUUCUGAUGAUAAGCAAGUCAACAUCAAUCUUUGAGUGUUGGAUAAGGGUUUUGAGGACGUAGCAAUUUAAUUGUGUUAUAACUUGAGACUUGGAUACAAUGCUUGGGAUUGAGGAACGCGUAGUAAGCUUUGAGCGGGCCAGAAAUGGUCUCCUUACUAUGGAUGUUGGUGAAAUAACUUUAAGCGACCCGUCUUGAAACACGGACCAAGGAGUCUAACAUGCAUGCGAGUAUUAGGGUGUUGAAACCCGAAUGCGUAAUGAAAGUGAAUUUCAAAUGUGAUCCGCAAGGUGCAACAUUGACCGGUCCUGAUUAUUUAUAUGACGGUACUGAGUAAGAGCAUGUAUGUUAGGACCCGAAAGAUGGUGAACUAUGCCUGGAUAGGGUGAAGUCAGAGGAAACUCUGAUGGAAGCUCGUAGCGGUUCUGACGUGCAAAUCGAUCGUUGAAUCUGGGUA
This 737-nucleotide ribosomal RNA is filed under the name Melampsora sp. Mel P. RNAcentral's name for it is "eukaryotic LSU rRNA". It matches the Rfam family "Eukaryotic large subunit ribosomal RNA", at positions 192 to 917 of the family's 3401-position model. The record is from RNAcentral. Lineage: Eukaryota; Fungi; Basidiomycota; Pucciniomycetes; Pucciniales; Melampsoraceae.